AAGAUGGCGGCAAGGUAAACAAACGCGACGAGCACUGCAACGAAGGGAUUUUUGUCGAUUAAUGCAAGAUAUCACCAGCCAUAUUAUGUGUAUGGGUAGUUUAACGGGAUAAUGUUCAUGAGAAUAGGCUUUGAGUCUGUAUGAGGAUGAAUCAGAGUUUGCCGUAAGCAUAAAUGACCAUCAGAGAGAUUUUUCAACAACCAUACAGAAGUUACACCAGAGAGAAAAACAGAACUCUGUGGAUAACUUGAUACAUUCACGAUGGAACGUCCUUGAUCUUGGAAGUGUCCAAGUUGCAGGCAGAUGGAGACAGAAAAGAGGUUUUCUCACCAUUGGUAUUCCGUCUGUCAAACGAGCACGGGGGGCCGAGUACCUGUUGCAGACUAUACGAUAUAUUAUCAGCAGGACAACACUAAAAGAAAAAGAGAGCAUUGUUCUUCUGGUGUUUUUGGCUAAUUUUGAUACAGACUAUAAUGCCGCUGUUUUGAAAAACAUCAGCGCCAGAUAUGGUGACUACAUGAACAGUGGAUUUCUAUUAGUUAUGCAAGUUCCAGAGAAAUAUUACCCACCAUUAACAAAUUUAAAAAGGAAUUAUAAUGAUCCGCCAAAUCAGGUUGCAUGGAGAUCAAAGCAAAAUGUGGACUAUGCGUUCAUGUUUUUCUAUGGAAGAAAUAUUUCAGAAUACUACAUUCAAAUAGAGGACGAUGUUAUGCCAGCGUUUGGAUUUGUGAAAGACAUACGUGCCUUUAUUCUGAAAAAUUACAAAAACCCAUGGGUUUGUUUAGAAUUUUCUCUUCUCGGAUUCAUAGGAAAGCUUUUCAAGUCGGGUGUCCUAGAUAAACUUGCAAGAUAUUUGAUCUUAUUUUAUGACGAGCAACCAUGUGAUUGGCUAAUUAAUUAUUUUCUAAGUUCAGUGACUCAAACAAGGCAUAUUUAUAACAGGAAGUCACUUUUUCAGCAUAAAGGAAUUUGGUCUUCUUCCAGUGAAAAAUCCAAGCAGGGACCUUUCAAGGCUUACGAUAUAUAUUUUAGAGAGGGAAAGUUAAACAAUGAGUAAGAGUGGCUGAAACAUGGGUAUUCACAGCACAUAAUCAAAAAUGCCCAACAUUGAAGAAUGUGACAAUCAGCUUAGCCAAUGAAGAUCAUUCUCCAAGACAACUAAGUUACAUAAGUUCAGCAAUUAAUAAGAGUGGCUGAAACAAGGGUAUUCACAGCACAUAAUCAAAAAUGCCCAACACGGAAGAAUGUGACAAUCAGCUUAGCCAAUGAAAAUCAUUCGCCAAGACAACUAAGUUACAUAUAUGAUUAAGGGACCAUUCCCACAGAUAUUUGGCUUGGUCUAACUCCCUGGGGAGUUUCACUAAAAUGCUAUCAACUUGGCCAGCUCAAAUACCUGUUACACCAAGUAAAGCUGUUAGGGGGUAAUUACCUUACCCCCUAGCUGAUUCGGUAGGCGUGACAGACAUUUUAGCCGGUUAA
Molecule: RNA transcript, 1479 nt
Organism: Lingula anatina
Lineage: Eukaryota; Metazoa; Brachiopoda; Lingulata; Lingulida; Lingulidae
Gene name: alpha-1,6-mannosyl-glycoprotein 4-beta-N-acetylglucosaminyltransferase
Source: RefSeq, a predicted model, not a curated record